Molecule: small nucleolar RNA, 138 nt
Organism: Ornithorhynchus anatinus (platypus)
Lineage: Eukaryota; Metazoa; Chordata; Mammalia; Monotremata; Ornithorhynchidae
Source: RefSeq, a predicted model, not a curated record
CCCCUCUUGGGGUAGCACCUGGAGAGUUUCCAGUAUUCUACCAGUCUCAACUAAGGGAGGGAAAGUCAAGCAGAGGCCUACCCAUUCCAUUCCUAGUUUGGACAGUGGUUAGAAAGUGGAAGGCAAUCUGCUACAAGU